GACGAACGCUGGCGGCGUGCUUAACACAUGCAAGUCGAACGGAAAGGCCCUGCUCUUGUGGGGUGCUCGAGUGGCGAACGGGUGAGUAACACGUGAGUAACCUGCCCUUGACUUUGGGAUAACUUCAGGAAACUGGGGCUAAUACCGGAUAGGAGCUCCUGCUGCAUAGUGGGGGUUGGAAAGUUUCGGCGGUUGGGGAUGGACUCGCAGCUUAUCAGCUUGUUGGUGAGGUAGUGGCUUACCAAGGUUUUGACGGGUAGCCGGCCUGGGAGGGUGGACGGGCACAAUGCGACUGAGGUACGGACCAGACUCGUACGGGAGGCAGCAGUGGAGAAUAUUGCACAAUGGGCGGGAGCCUGAUGCAGCAACGCCGCGUGCGGGAUGACGGCCUACGGGUUGUAAACCGAUGUCGCCGGUGACGAGGCGUGAGUGACGGUAAUGGGUAAAGAAGCACCGGCUAACUACGUG
RNAcentral lists this ribosomal RNA (468 nucleotides) under uncultured bacterium. RNAcentral describes it as "partial 16S ribosomal RNA". It matches the Rfam family "Bacterial small subunit ribosomal RNA", at positions 28 to 507 of the family's 1533-position model. The record is from RNAcentral.